RNAcentral lists this long non-coding RNA (760 nucleotides) under Coturnix japonica (Japanese quail). RNAcentral's name for it is "lncRNA (ENSCJPG00005017621.1)". The record is from RNAcentral. Lineage: Eukaryota; Metazoa; Chordata; Aves; Galliformes; Phasianidae.
GAGCAAUGAGCUGCUGACAGCUGAGCUCCUCAGAUUAUAAACAGGCCGCCUCAGGGACCUGAGGUAAUAACCUCUGGUUUGGUGCUGUUUCUUGUGCUAGCCUAACUUACCUGGAAAGGCAGGAGAUGACCUGGCUGAAAGAGUGUCAGGCAUUCAUCACCUCAAACGCGGGUCUAUGCGGAGUGACCAGAUGUCUCCCACCAAGCAAGAGUUGCUGUUGCUGGCUUCACCUUGCAGAGCUCUAGGCAUUUUUUCUCAUCUCACUCCAAGACCUUACAGUCUGAGUUCUCCUUCCCAAAACAAGUUGAUCCAUGCAAGAAAACUGCUGCUGCUGGACUGCGCUGAGUGAGGCGUGGAUGUAAGGUAGACCCUCUGUAUGGGCAGUACAGUAUUGCUCUUAGUUCAAGCAUGCAGCAUGUUUUUUUUGCAAAUACGAUCAUUAGAUAUUUUGUUGGUCUGGUGCUUGAUAGAUUUCAAGUCUGACCUGCACAAGUCAGUCUUGUUUUUCAAUCAAAUGACAUGCAUUCAGUACUUCAAGCCUUGAACCUUCUGCUUCUCAAAGAGCUCCAUUAAUGUAUGAAAACAUCAUAUCCUCUGCAUAUGAAGACCACAGGCCUGCUCUAAAGAAAAUCCUCCAGAGCUGGUAUACUCCAUACUUCUGAACACCAUGAGAGCAGCUUUGUCUAGAAAGGUCGCAAAUGACCUUUAAUGUUUUGCAGAUUUCAGAUUUUUGCAUAUAUUUGGGGAAAUCACGUUUUUC